GACGAACGCUGGCGGCGUGCUUAACACAUGCAAGUCGAACGGAAAGGCCCUGCUUUUGUGGGGUGCUCGAGUGGCGAACGGGUGAGUAACACGUGAGUAACCUGCCCUUGACUUUGGGAUAACUUCAGGAAACUGGGGCUAAUACCGGAUAGGAGCUCCUGCUGCAUGGUGGGGGUUGGAAAGUUUCGGCGGUUGGGGAUGGACUCGCGGCUUAUCAGCUUGUUGGUGGGGUAGUGGCUUACCAAGGCUUUGACGGGUAGCCGGCCUGAGAGGGUGACCGGCAACAUUGGGCAUGAGAUACGGCCCAGACGCCUACGGGAGGCAGCAGUGGGGAAUAUUGCACAAUGGGCGGAAGCCUGAUGCAGCAACGCCGCGUGCGGGAUGACGGCCUUCGGGUUGUAAACCGCUUUCGCAUGUGACGAAGCGUGAGUGACGGUAAUGGGUAAAGAAGCACCGGCUAACUACGUG
This 468-nucleotide ribosomal RNA is filed under the name uncultured bacterium. Its description in RNAcentral is "partial 16S ribosomal RNA". It matches the Rfam family "Bacterial small subunit ribosomal RNA", at positions 28 to 507 of the family's 1533-position model. The record is from RNAcentral.